GAUGAACGCUGGCGGCGUGCUUAACACAUGCAAGUCGAACGGAAAGGCCCAAGCUUGCUUGGGUACUCGAGUGGCGAACGGGUGAGUAACACGUGGGUGAUCUGCCCUGCACUUCGGGAUAAGCCUGGGAAACUGGGUCUAAUACCGGAUAGGACCACAUUUUGGAUGGUGUGGUGGAAAGUUUUUCGGUGUGGGAUGAGCUCGCGGCCUAUCAGCUUGUUGGUGGGGUAAUGGCCUACCAAGGCGUCGACGGGUAGCCGGCCUGAGAGGGUGUACGGCCACAUUGGGACUGAGAUACGGCCCAGACUCCUACGGGAGGCAGAAGUGGGGAAUAUUGCACAAUGGGCGCAAGCCUGAUGCAGCGACGCCGCGUGGGGGAUGACGGCCUUCGGGUUGUAAGCUCCUUUCGCUAGGGACGAAGCGUUAUGUGACGGUACCUGGAGAAGAAGCACCGGCUAACUACGUG
Molecule: ribosomal RNA, 466 nt
Filed under: uncultured bacterium
Lineage: Bacteria
Description: partial 16S ribosomal RNA
Rfam family: Bacterial small subunit ribosomal RNA
Source: RNAcentral